RNAcentral lists this ribosomal RNA (163 nucleotides) under Chelonanthus purpurascens. RNAcentral's name for it is "5.8S ribosomal RNA". It matches the Rfam family "5.8S ribosomal RNA". Rfam says of the family: 5.8S ribosomal RNA (5.8S rRNA) is a component of the large subunit of the eukaryotic ribosome. It is transcribed by RNA polymerase I as part of the 45S precursor that also contains 18S and 28S rRNA. RNAcentral also lists the same sequence under 6 other names. Lineage: Eukaryota; Viridiplantae; Streptophyta; Magnoliopsida; Gentianales; Gentianaceae. The record is from RNAcentral.
AAAACGACUCUCGGCAACGGAUAUCUCGGCUCUCGCAUCGAUGAAGAACGUAGCGAACUGCGAUACUUGGUGUGAAUUGCAGAAUCCCGUGAACCAUCGAGUCUUUGAACGCAAGUUGCGCCCAAAGCCAUUAGGCCGAGGGCACGUCUGCCUGGGCGUCACG